AACCGGGGGAACUGAAACAUCUAAGUACCCCGAGGAAAAGAAAUCAACCGAGAUUCCGAAAGUAGCGGCGAGCGAAAUUGGACUAGCCCUUAAGCUUUACACGCGUUAGACGAACGGUCUGGAAAGUCCGACGAUACAGGGUGAUAGUCCCGUAGUUGACGACGUGUGUUCAGUGAAAUCGAGUAGGGCGGGACACGUGAUAUCCUGUCUGAAUAUGGGGGGACCAUCCUCCAAGGCUAAAUACUACUGACUGACCGAUAGUGAACCAGUACCGUGAGGGAAAGGCGAAAAGAACCCCUGUGAGGGGAGUGAAAUAGAACCUGAAACCGUGUACGUACAAGCAGUAGGAGCAGGCUUUGUCCUGUGACUGCGUACCUUUUGUAUAAUGGGUCAGCGACUUAUAUUCAGUGGCAAGGUUAACCAUCUAGGGGAGCCGUAGGGAAACCGAGUCUUAACUGGGCGUUCAGUCUCUGGAUAUAGACCCGAAACCAGGUGAUCUAGCCAUGGGCAGGUUGAAGGUUGAGUAACAUCAACUGGAGGACCGAACCGACUAAUGUUGAAAAAUUAGCGGAUGACUUGUGGCUAGGGGUGAAAGGCCAAUCAAACCUGGAGAUAGCUGGUUCUCCCCGAAAGCUAUUUAGGUAGCGCCUCGGACGAAUACUACUGGGGGUAGAGCACUGUUAAGGCUAGGGGGUCAUCCCGACUUACCAACCCUUUGCAAACUCCGAAUACCAGUAAGUACUAUCCGGGAGACACACGGCGGGUGCUAACGUCCGUCGUGGAGAGGGAAACAACCCAGACCGCCAGCUAAGGUCCCAAAUUACUACUAAGUGGGAAACGAUGUGGGAAGGCUCAGACAGCCAGGAUGUUGGCUUAGAAGCAGCCAUCAUUUAAAGAAAGCGUAAUAGCUCACUGGUCGAGUCGGCCUGCGCGGAAGAUGUAACGGGGCUAAGUAGUAAACCGAAGCUGCGGCAAUGUGCUUUUGCACAUUGGGUAGGGGAGCGUUCUGUAAGCGGUUGAAGGUGUGUGGUAACGCAUGCUGGACGUAUCAGAAGUGCGAAUGCUGACAUGAGUAACGAUAAAGGGGGUGAAAAACCUCCUCGCCGGAAGACCAAGGGUUCCUGUCCAACGUUAAUCGGGGCAGGGUAAGUCGACCCCUAAGGCGAGGCCGAAAGGCGUAGUCGAUGGGAAACGGGUUAAUAUUCCCGUACUUCUUACAAUUGCGAUGGGGGGACGGAGAAGGCUAGGUGGGCCUGGCGACGGUUGUCCAGGUUCAAGUGCGUAGGCUUAAGAGUUAGGUAAAUCCGGCUCUUUUUAAGGCUGAGACACGACGUCGAGCAUCUACGGAUGUGAAGUCAUUGAUGCCAUGCUUCCAGGAAAAGCCUCUAAGCUUCAGAUUGUAAGGAAUCGUACCCCAAACCGACACAGGUGGUCGGGUAGAGAAUACCAAGGCGCUUGAGAGAACUCGGGUGAAGGAACUAGGCAAAAUGGUACCGUAACUUCGGGAGAAGGUACGCUCUCGACGGUGAAGUCCCUCGCGGAUGGAGCUAUUGAGAGUCGCAGAUACCAGGUGGCUGCAACUGUUUAUUAAAAACACAGCACUGUGCAAAAUCGUAAGAUGACGUAUACGGUGUGACGCCUGCCCGGUGCCGGAAGGUUAAUUGAUGGGGUUAGACUUCGGUCGAAGCUCUUGAUCGAAGCCCCGGUAAACGGCGGCCGUAACUAUAACGGUCCUAAGGUAGCGAAAUUCCUUGUCGGGUAAGUUCCGACCUGCACGAAUGGCGUAAUGAUGGCCACGCUGUCUCCACCCGAGACUCAGUGAAAUUGAAAUCGCUGUGAAGAUGCAGUGUACCCGCGGCUAGACGGAAAGACCCCGUGACUAGAGGCUUUACUACAGCUUGGCACUGAACAUUGACCCUACAUGUGUAGGAUAGGUGGGAGGCUUUGAAGCACGUACGCCAGUAUGUGUGGAGCCGUCCUUGAAAUACCACCCUUGUAGUGUUGAUGUUCUAACGUCGACCCCUUAUCGGGGUUGCGGACAGUGCCUGGUGGGUAGUUUGACUGGGGCGGUCUCCUCCCAAAGAGUAACGGAGGAGCACGAAGGUGGGCUAAUCACGGUUGGACAUCGUGAGGUUAGUGCAAUGGCAUAAGCCCGCUUGACUGCGAGAAUGACAAUUCGAGCAGGUGCGAAAGCAGGUCAUAGUGAUCCGGUGGUUCUGAAUGGAAGGGCCAUCGCUCAACGGAUAAAAGGUACUCCGGGGAUAACAGGCUGAUACCGCCCAAGAGUUCAUAUCGACGGCGGUGUUUGGCACCUCGAUGUCGGCUCAUCACAUCCUGGGGCUGAAGUCGGUCCCAAGGGUAUGGCUGUUCGCCAUUUAAAGUGGUACGCGAGCUGGGUUUAGAACGUCGUGAGACAGUUCGGUCCCUAUCUGCCGUGGGCGUUGGAAGAUUGAAGGGGGCUGCUCCUAGUACGAGAGGACCGGAGUGGACGAACCUCUGGUGUUCGGGUUGUGUCGCCAGACGCAUUGCCCGGUAGCUAAGUUCGGAAUCGAUAACCGCUGAAAGCAUCUAAGCGGGAAGCGAGCCCUGAGAUGAGUCUUCCCUGAUACUUUAAGUAUCCUAAAGGGUUGUCGGAGACUACGACGUUGAUAGGUCAGGUGUGUAAGUGCUGUGAGGCAUUGAGCUAACUGAUACUAAUUGCCCGUGAGGCUUAACCAUACAACACCCAAGGGGUUU
This 2736-nucleotide ribosomal RNA is filed under the name Vibrio parahaemolyticus. RNAcentral describes it as "bacterial LSU rRNA". It matches the Rfam family "Bacterial large subunit ribosomal RNA". Lineage: Bacteria; Pseudomonadati; Pseudomonadota; Gammaproteobacteria; Vibrionales; Vibrionaceae. The record is from RNAcentral.